This 253-nucleotide ribosomal RNA is filed under the name uncultured bacterium. RNAcentral's name for it is "partial 16S ribosomal RNA". It matches the Rfam family "Bacterial small subunit ribosomal RNA", at positions 524 to 776 of the family's 1533-position model. The record is from RNAcentral.
UACGGGGGGGGCAAGCGUUGUUCGGAAUCACUGGGCGUAAAGGGCUCGUAGGCGGCCAACUAAGUCGGAUGUGAAAUCCCCAGGCUUAACUUGGGAACUGCAUCCGAUACUGGAUGGCUUGAAUCCGGGAGAGGGAUGCGGAAUUCCAGGUGUAGCGGUGAAAUGCGUAGAUAUCUGGAGGAACACCGGUGGCGAAGGCGGCAUCCUGGACCGGCAUUGACGCUGAGGAGCGAAAGCCAGGGGAGCAAACGGG